GGGGUUGUGGCUCAGUGGUAGAGCACUCACCUAGCAUGUUUGAAGCCCUGAGUUUGAUCCUCAGCACCA
RNAcentral lists this transfer RNA (69 nucleotides) under Ictidomys tridecemlineatus (thirteen-lined ground squirrel). RNAcentral's name for it is "Spermophilus tridecemlineatus (thirteen-lined ground squirrel) tRNA". It matches the Rfam family "tRNA". Rfam says of the family: Transfer RNA (tRNA) molecules are approximately 80 nucleotides in length. Their secondary structure includes four short double-helical elements and three loops (D, anti-codon, and T loops). The record is from Rfam by way of RNAcentral. Lineage: Eukaryota; Metazoa; Chordata; Mammalia; Rodentia; Sciuridae.